RNAcentral lists this ribosomal RNA (349 nucleotides) under uncultured Pseudomonadota bacterium. Its description in RNAcentral is "bacterial SSU rRNA". It matches the Rfam family "Bacterial small subunit ribosomal RNA", at positions 28 to 381 of the family's 1533-position model. The record is from RNAcentral. Lineage: Bacteria; Pseudomonadati; Pseudomonadota.
GAUGAACGCUGGCGGCAUGCCUUACACAUGCAAGUCGAACGGUAACGCGGGGCAACCUGGCGACGAGUGGCGAACGGGUGAGUAAUACAUCGGAACGUGCCCAGUAGUGGGGGAUAACCCGGCGAAAGCCGGACUAAUACCGCAUACGACCUACGGGUGAAAGGGGGGAUCGCAAGACCUCUCGCUAUUGGAGCGGCCGAUGGCAGAUUAGGUUGUUGGUGGGGUAAAAGCCUACCAAGCCGACGAUCUGUAGCUGGUCUGAGAGGACGACCAGCCACACUGGGACUGAGACACGGCCCAGACUCCUACGGGUGGCCAGCCUGAGACGCCAAGGCACACAGGGGAUAGG